UGACUGAUAAGGAAAGGAACAAUGACUAGUAUCAACAAAACAAAAAAAUUAGUGGGAAGUCAAUUAUUAGUUGGUGAUUCAAUUACUUGCGUGCACGAUAAAGGAAGCAUCUGAGAAAUUUAUGUUUUGACGAUAUUGGGAUUUUUUUUUUUCUUUCUUUUAUCGUAUACGACAACAACGGAUGAAGAAGAAACAUGAGAAACUCAAAACAUAGAAGUUUCAAAAAUAUAUAUCGCCAGGUCCCCAUGCAAAGCAUAGGCACGUGCGUCUGAUUUGCAUCAAAGUUUGUAGACAAAUUAUUUUUUUUAC
Molecule: long non-coding RNA, 309 nt
Filed under: Capsella rubella
Lineage: Eukaryota; Viridiplantae; Streptophyta; Magnoliopsida; Brassicales; Brassicaceae
Description: long non-coding RNA (CRUB_LNC001820)
Source: RNAcentral